RNAcentral lists this ribosomal RNA (452 nucleotides) under uncultured bacterium. RNAcentral's name for it is "bacterial SSU rRNA". It matches the Rfam family "Bacterial small subunit ribosomal RNA", at positions 29 to 524 of the family's 1533-position model. The record is from RNAcentral.
AGCGAACGCUGGCGGCAGGCUUAACACAUGCAAGUCGAGCGGGCGUAGCAAUACGUCAGCGGCAGACGGGUGAGUAACGCGUGGGAACAUACCCUUUUGGUUCGGAACAACACAGGGAAACUUGUGCUAAUACCGGAUAAGCCCUUACGGGGAAAGAUUUAUCGCCGAAAGAUUGGCCCGCGUCUGAUUAGCUAGUUGGUGAGGUAAUGGCUCACCAAGGCGACGAUCAGAGCUGGUCUGAGAGGAUGAUCAGCCACAUUGGGACUGAGACACGGCCCAAACUCCUACGGGAGGCAGCAGUGGGGAAUAUUGGACAAUGGGCGCAAGCCUGAUCCAGCCAUGCCGCGUGAGUGAUGAAGGCCCUAGGGUUGUAAAGCUCUUUUGUGCGGGAAGAUAAUGACGGUACCGCAAGAAUAAGCCCCGGCUAACUUCGUGCCAGCCGCCGCUGUAAG